Molecule: long non-coding RNA, 322 nt
Filed under: Mytilus galloprovincialis (Mediterranean mussel)
Lineage: Eukaryota; Metazoa; Mollusca; Bivalvia; Mytilida; Mytilidae
Source: RNAcentral
AUAACAAAAUUAACUAACCUGUAAAUAUUGCUUAAGCAUUUAAGCGUCAGCAUUGAAAGGCGGCUAUUCAGUUAAUGAAAUACUAAAUCUCUAUAUAUAAAUAAACGUACAUAUAUUUUCCCGCGCUCGUGCAAUAAUAUUUUAUUCUAUUUAAAUCGUUCAGGUGUGUAGUGACGUGUAUAUGAAAUUGUGCAGUGACGUAUAUUAGAAAUGUCGUCAGUCUCAGUCAAUCGUCAUAAUGAGUAUGAUGAAACAGAAAAUGGAAUAAAUGAAUGAAAGAAUGAAAUAAAUAAACUGAUGAAUAACCAAUCAACCAUUUAAU